GACGAACGCUGGCGGCGUGCCUAAUACAUGCAAGUAGAACGCACAGUUUAUACCGUAGCUUGCUACACCAUAGACUGUGAGUUGCGAACGGGUGAGUAACGCGUAGGUAACCUGCCUGGUAGCGGGGGAUAACUAUUGGAAACGAUAGCUAAUACCGCAUAAUAUUAAUUAUUGCAUGAUAAUUGAUUGAAAGAUGCAACUGCAUCACUACCAGAUGGACCUGCGUUGUAUUAGCUAGUAGGUGAGGUAACGGCUCACCUAGGCGACGAUACGUAGCCGACCUGAGAGGGUGAUCGGCCACACUGGGACUGAGACACGGCCCAGACUCCUACGGGAGGCAGCAGUAGGGAAUCUUCGGCAAUGGACGAAAGUCUGACCGAGCAACGCCGCGUGAGUGAAGAAGGUUUUCGGAUCGUAAAGCUCUGUUGUAAGAAAAGAACGGGUGUGAGAGUGGAAAGUUCACACUGUGACGGUAUCUUACCAGAAAGGGACGGCUAACUACGUG
RNAcentral lists this ribosomal RNA (505 nucleotides) under uncultured bacterium. RNAcentral describes it as "partial 16S ribosomal RNA". It matches the Rfam family "Bacterial small subunit ribosomal RNA", at positions 28 to 507 of the family's 1533-position model. The record is from RNAcentral.